Molecule: long non-coding RNA, 419 nt
Organism: Ananas comosus (pineapple)
Lineage: Eukaryota; Viridiplantae; Streptophyta; Magnoliopsida; Poales; Bromeliaceae
Exons: 2
Source: RefSeq, a predicted model, not a curated record
UCUAACUAAUUUUCUUUCUCUCUCUAGUUGAAGUAGAGAGCCGUACGUGGAGGAGCUCUCAGGUGAAGUUCGAGUGUCGCUGAUGUCGCGCCGCGGUGCCGUUCGAGCGUGUGUUCGUCGUCGUAGCAUCACGAGGAGGCCGGGCGAGGGUGCGAUUCCGCCGUUCUCGACGUCACGCCGGAUUGGGAUUUACGUUUGAGAGCCUUCGGUUCCGGUUGCUGCAUCCUCCUAGACCGGCCGUGGCAAGGACGUUGUGAGUAGAGCCCUACCAGAUGAGUCGCCGAGAUAGAGGAUCAUCUUCAGCAGGUAGUGGUGCUUUUAUUUUUGAGUUCAUGUACAUACAGAUGCUAUAACUCGCUUGAGCGAGUACUUUUGUACCUGGAUAUUAUGUAUGUAUAUGGAACUUGCUUUCAGUUUUA